This 1392-nucleotide ribosomal RNA is filed under the name Staphylococcus pseudoxylosus. Its description in RNAcentral is "bacterial SSU rRNA". It matches the Rfam family "Bacterial small subunit ribosomal RNA", at positions 64 to 1437 of the family's 1533-position model. Lineage: Bacteria; Bacillati; Bacillota; Bacilli; Caryophanales; Staphylococcaceae. The record is from RNAcentral.
GAGCGAACAGAUAAGGAGCUUGCUCCUUUGACGUUAGCGGCGGACGGGUGAGUAACACGUGGGUAACCUACCUAUAAGACUGGGAUAACUUCGGGAAACCGGAGCUAAUACCGGAUAACAUUUGGAACCGCAUGGUUCUAAAGUGAAAGAUGGUUUUGCUAUCACUUAUAGAUGGACCCGCGCCGUAUUAGCUAGUUGGUAAGGUAACGGCUUACCAAGGCGACGAUACGUAGCCGACCUGAGAGGGUGAUCGGCCACACUGGAACUGAGACACGGUCCAGACUCCUACGGGAGGCAGCAGUAGGGAAUCUUCCGCAAUGGGCGAAAGCCUGACGGAGCAACGCCGCGUGAGUGAUGAAGGGUUUCGGCUCGUAAAACUCUGUUAUUAGGGAAGAACAAACGUGUAAGUAACUGUGCACGUCUUGACGGUACCUAAUCAGAAAGCCACGGCUAACUACGUGCCAGCAGCCGCGGUAAUACGUAGGUGGCAAGCGUUAUCCGGAAUUAUUGGGCGUAAAGCGCGCGUAGGCGGUUUCUUAAGUCUGAUGUGAAAGCCCACGGCUCAACCGUGGAGGGUCAUUGGAAACUGGGAAACUUGAGUGCAGAAGAGGAAAGUGGAAUUCCAUGUGUAGCGGUGAAAUGCGCAGAGAUAUGGAGGAACACCAGUGGCGAAGGCGACUUUCUGGUCUGUAACUGACGCUGAUGUGCGAAAGCGUGGGGAUCAAACAGGAUUAGAUACCCUGGUAGUCCACGCCGUAAACGAUGAGUGCUAAGUGUUAGGGGGUUUCCGCCCCUUAGUGCUGCAGCUAACGCAUUAAGCACUCCGCCUGGGGAGUACGACCGCAAGGUUGAAACUCAAAGGAAUUGACGGGGACCCGCACAAGCGGUGGAGCAUGUGGUUUAAUUCGAAGCAACGCGAAGAACCUUACCAAAUCUUGACAUCCUUUGAAAACUCUAGAGAUAGAGCCUUCCCCUUCGGGGGACAAAGUGACAGGUGGUGCAUGGUUGUCGUCAGCUCGUGUCGUGAGAUGUUGGGUUAAGUCCCGCAACGAGCGCAACCCUUAAGCUUAGUUGCCAUCAUUAAGUUGGGCACUCUAGGUUGACUGCCGGUGACAAACCGGAGGAAGGUGGGGAUGACGUCAAAUCAUCAUGCCCCUUAUGAUUUGGGCUACACACGUGCUACAAUGGACAAUACAAAGGGCAGCUAAACCGCGAGGUCAUGCAAAUCCCAUAAAGUUGUUCUCAGUUCGGAUUGUAGUCUGCAACUCGACUACAUGAAGCUGGAAUCGCUAGUAAUCGUAGAUCAGCAUGCUACGGUGAAUACGUUCCCGGGUCUUGUACACACCGCCCGUCACACCACGAGAGUUUGUAACACCCGAAGCCGGUGGAGUA